This 253-nucleotide ribosomal RNA is filed under the name uncultured bacterium. RNAcentral's name for it is "partial 16S ribosomal RNA". It matches the Rfam family "Bacterial small subunit ribosomal RNA", at positions 524 to 776 of the family's 1533-position model. The record is from RNAcentral.
UACGUAGGGUGCAAGCGUUGUCCGGAAUUAUUGGGCGUAAAGAGCUCGUAGGCGGUCUGUCGCGUCGGCUGUGAAAUCCCGAGGCUCAACCUCGGGUCUGCAGUCGAUACGGGCAAACUAGAGUAUUGCAGGGGAGACUGGAAUUCCUGGUGUAGCGGUGAAAUGCGCAGAUAUCAGGAGGAACACCGGUGGCGAAGGCGGGUCUCUGGGCAUUAACUGACGCUGAGGAGCGAAAGCAUGGGGAGCGAACAGG